This 749-nucleotide long non-coding RNA is filed under the name Trifolium pratense (red clover). RNAcentral's name for it is "long non-coding RNA (TPRA_LNC013420)". Lineage: Eukaryota; Viridiplantae; Streptophyta; Magnoliopsida; Fabales; Fabaceae. The record is from RNAcentral.
AAAAAAAAAAAAAAGACAAUCAAAAGUUUAAAUUUUUAAGAGACUGGUAAUUAUUUUGCUAUUUGGUGCUUGAAUUAGUUGUUUAUGUUUAUUUUUCCCUUUUUUGUUCAUGUUUUUGAGGGUAUAUGAUUCUUUGUUAGUGAUGUUUUCUGACUUUUUUUGGUUAUUAAUUUAAUUUUGAUCCGAUACUUAUAAUUUAUCCUAUUAAUUUUUUCUCUUUUAAUUUGUUGUUUGUUGUUGUUGUUUUGAUGAAUGAGGUUAAAAAUGAAAAUUUCAUUUGAUAAUCCGACGGAAAUGGUCACUGGAAAAUCGCCCAUGGUGGUGUGCAGUGGCUCUCCAGCGAAGGUGGUUAGAAUAGGUGAAGAAGCAGUACAAUAUAGAGAUCUCGCGACGAAGAGCACAAAUCCGGUGUUUGUUUUCCUUGAACAUGUUCAAGCUGGCCGAAAACGGCCUCUAAGAUCAACGGUCUGAAAAUUCAAACUACUCCAAUCUAAAUAUAAAUUUGUGGGUUCUAUAGAGGAGAAAGAGAUAAUUCAAUAGUGGUGGACUGGUGGUGGCCGAAAAGGCUCUCCCAAAAUGGAGGUCUUGAGCAAAAAAGAAGGAAGAAAGAGAGUAUGUGAAUUAUCAAUCAAGUGUAUAUGAUCCACGGUAAAAUCUAUACAUUUACUCAAUCCAAUGGUCCACAUUAAAAUAAAUAAACUUGUGCAUCAUGCACAAAUUUAACAAUUUGUGCAUUCUAAAUGCCACCC